Pelobates cultripes (western spadefoot toad) is the source of this 482-nucleotide non-coding RNA. The record is from the annotation of a GenBank genome assembly. NCBI's taxonomy places the organism in Eukaryota, Metazoa, Chordata, Amphibia, Anura, Pelobatidae.
UACAGAAGAAAAAAGGGGAGGGGGGGGAGGUUAAAAGGUUUCCGGUACAUAGCACUUAUAUGACACAGGUUGAGCAUUACAUCCAUAUACCGGAUAAAAACAGGCAUUAUGUUAUACAAGCUAGUACAUUGAAAUACAGGGAGAGUCAUCUACCACUUAUGCAAGAAAUGUAAAGAACAACACGCAAAAGGCUGUGUAGCAGAACAUGUAUAGCAGAAUGUGUUGUCGUUCCCCACAACAUGCAACACAGGCCUAUAAGAAUCGCAUAAUUAUACUUAGUGUAGAAUUUUACAAAUUAAGAUACUCAGGUGGGGUUGAUCUCCAUGUGUGCCACAGCGACCACAUAUGCCUGGUUAUAUGAAAGAGGGAAUAUAAAAGUGAAAUUGGUUUCAUAUAGACAUUGUUUAUCUAGUUCAGCAGUCAAGGCGGGGACUCUAGGAGCCGAAAAGGAUUUCCAGGCUCUAGCUCUCAAUUGACGAGCU